GCUCAACUGCCUCAUUCCCUACAGCUCCUGUGGCCGCGGCUGCUGCUGUACGUGGUGCCAGCCGAGUACACCGGCAUGAUGAUUCCAAUCUCCCGUUGUGUCCAAGCCCUGGCUGAGAGAGGGGAUCUGACAGUGCAGGACGUGGAAGAACUGGAUCCCCAUUUCCUCAGCUCCAUGUUUCAAGGUAGGAGGAGAGACUCCCCCCGUGAGCUCUGCUGACCCAUGUUAGCACCCAGAAGGGAGAGCGGAGGUACGUGUGGCAGGGCAUGGAGUGUCUUGGAGUCUUACUCAGCACUUCUUUCUCCCUGCAGGCCCACUGCUGACUCCCCAGAUACUGCUGGCACGUCUGCUGGUGGUGGCAGGGAGCCCUUUUGCAGGCAGCGAACUCCAAGCCGCUGCCUUGCUGCUCAUGCAAAACCUCCACAGCAAGAUCCACAGAGCGGUGGGGGCCAUGUGGGCUGCUGAGAUUCCCCUCCUGCUGCAGCGUCUUGAAGGGAAAGAUGAGAGCUUCCCGGAUUCUGCAGAGUGGGAUCACCAUCUGCUAAAGGUACAGCAUUGCGGGAAGACACAGUGCAGAGAAGUGCUUGCCUGCCACAAGGAGCCCUGCUCCCAUAUGAGCUACCACGGGACAGGAACAGCCUUUCAAAAGCUACUGUGGAGCAGCUGCACACCUCUGUGGCGCUGCCUCUUC
Molecule: long non-coding RNA, 691 nt
Filed under: Phasianus colchicus (ring-necked pheasant)
Lineage: Eukaryota; Metazoa; Chordata; Aves; Galliformes; Phasianidae
Description: lncRNA (ENSPCLG00000017273.1)
Source: RNAcentral